AUUGAACGCUGGCGGCAGGCCUUACACAUGCAAGUCGAACGAGUGGCGGACGGGUGAGUAAUGUCUGGGAACCUGCCUGAUGGAGGGGGAUAACUACUGGAAACGGUAGCUAAUACCGCAUACCAUCAGAUGUGCCCAGAUGGGAUUAGCUUGUUGGUGGGGUAACGGCUCACCAAGGCGACGAUCCGUAGCUGGUGUGAGAGGAUGACCAGCCAAACUGGAACUGAGACACGGUCCAGACUCCUACGGGAGGCAGCAGUGGGGAAUAUUGGACAAUGGGGGAAAGCCUGAUGCAGCCAUGCCGCGUGUAUGAAGAAGGCCUUCGGGUUGUAAAGUACUUUCGGCGGGGAGGCGUUACCCGCAGAAGAAGCACCGGCUAACUCCGUGCCAGCAGCCGCGGUAAUUC
Molecule: ribosomal RNA, 406 nt
Filed under: uncultured bacterium
Lineage: Bacteria
Description: partial 16S ribosomal RNA
Rfam family: Bacterial small subunit ribosomal RNA
Source: RNAcentral